Molecule: long non-coding RNA, 435 nt
Filed under: Mus caroli (Ryukyu mouse)
Lineage: Eukaryota; Metazoa; Chordata; Mammalia; Rodentia; Muridae
Description: lncRNA (MGP_CAROLIEiJ_G0002457.1)
Source: RNAcentral
CAGGAAAACACUGGGUGCAGACCGUGCAGGCCUUCGCUGUGUCUUGCCCUGGAGACCAAAGCAUCAUAUUGACACUGAAAUCUGAAGUUGGCUAGUGCCUUUUCUUAGGGGCCUGGCAGCGCCACGGGGACAAGGGUUCCUUACCCUUUCUGGGCCUCGGUUUCCUCAUCUGUGAAAGGAUAGUGUGAGGGCCUUCAGAGGAACAUGGCACAUUACAGAGAAAUGAGGGGGCAGGGGGCAGCGUGCACCCUGAACAGGCAGAGCCUGGGCCAAGCCGAGGGAAGAUCAGCUGAUGUGAGCCAGGCCUCCACACACAUCACUUCCAGGAUCUCCUGUGAGGCCCGGAGUACUGCCAAGGUGAUGACGGAUGUGCCUCCUCCUGGGUCAGCUUCAGGUGAAGUCAUCCGUUCCCUCUGCACUCCAUCAGGACCUGUU